Myotis brandtii (Brandt's bat) is the source of this 104-nucleotide non-coding RNA. Lineage: Eukaryota; Metazoa; Chordata; Mammalia; Chiroptera; Vespertilionidae. The record is from Rfam.
GUUCACUUAGGCAGCACGUACACUAAAACUGGAACGAUACAGAGAAGAUUAGCAUGCCCCUGCACAAGGAUGACACACAGAUUUGUGAAGCGUUUCAUAUUUCU